AGAGUUUGAUCCUGGCUCAGAUUGAACGCUGGCGGCAUGCCUUACACAUGCAAGUCGGACGGCAGCGCGGGAGCAAUCCUGGCGGCGAGUGGCGAACGGGUGAGUAAUACAUCGGAACAUGUCCAGUAGUGGGGGAUAGCCCGGCGAAAGCCGGAUUAAUACCGCAUACGAUCUAUGGAUGAAAGCGGGGGAUCGCAAGACCUCGCGCUAUUGGGGUGGCCGAUGGCGGAUUAGCUAGUUGGUGGGGUAAAGGCCUACCAAGGCGACGAUUCGUAGCUGGUCUGAGAGGACGACCAGCCACACUGGGACUGAGACACGGCCCAGACUCCUACGGGAGGCAGCAGUGGGGAAUUUUGGACAAUGGGCGAAAGCCUGAUCCAGCAAUGCCGCGUGUGUGAAGAAGGCCUUCGGGUUGUAAAGCACUUUUGUCCGGGAGGAAAUCCCCUGCCCUAAUACGGCGGGGGGAUGACGGUACCGGAAGAAUAAGCACCGGCUAACUACGUGCCAGCAGCCGCGGUAAA
RNAcentral lists this ribosomal RNA (521 nucleotides) under uncultured Burkholderia sp. RNAcentral describes it as "bacterial SSU rRNA". It matches the Rfam family "Bacterial small subunit ribosomal RNA", at positions 8 to 524 of the family's 1533-position model. Lineage: Bacteria; Pseudomonadati; Pseudomonadota; Betaproteobacteria; Burkholderiales; Burkholderiaceae. The record is from RNAcentral.